This is a small nuclear RNA of Camelus dromedarius (Arabian camel), 97 nucleotides long. The record is from Ensembl. Lineage: Eukaryota; Metazoa; Chordata; Mammalia; Artiodactyla; Camelidae.
GCUCACUUCAGCUAUACAUAUAAUUAGCAUAAACAGACAAUUAGCAUGGCCCCUAUGCAAGGAUGACAUGCAAAUCUGUGAAGCAUUUCAUAUUUUU